This 429-nucleotide ribosomal RNA is filed under the name Bacteroidota bacterium. Its description in RNAcentral is "Bacteroidetes bacterium partial 16S ribosomal RNA". It matches the Rfam family "Bacterial small subunit ribosomal RNA", at positions 355 to 776 of the family's 1533-position model. The record is from RNAcentral. Lineage: Bacteria; Pseudomonadati; Bacteroidota.
UAGGGAAUCUUCCGCAAUGGACGCAAGUCUGACGGAGCAACGCCGCGUGAGUGAAGAAGGAUUUCGGUUCGUAAAACUCUGUUGUUAGAGAAGAACAGCGCAUAGAGUAACUGUUAUGCGUGUGACGGUAUCUAACCAGAAAGCCACGGCUAACUACUUGCCAGCAGCCGCGGUAAUACGUAGGUGGCAAGCGUUGUCCGGAUUUAUUGGGCGUAAAGCGAGCGCAGGCGGUCAAUUAAGUCUGAUGUGAAAGCCCCCGGCUCAACCGGGGAGGGUCAUUGGAAACUGGUUGACUUGAGUGCAGAAGAGGAGAGUGGAAUUCCAUGUGUAGCGGUGAAAUGCGUAGAUAUAUGGAGGAACACCAGUGGCGAAGGCGACUCUCUGGUCUGUAACUGACGCUGAGGCUCGAAAGCGUGGGUAGCAAACAGG